AAAGGAGAAAAACCCGUCUAUUCAGAAGCCGUCCCAGGAUACUAGCGAAAAUCCGUCUGGGCAGGAUUCGGAAGGGACCAGAGAGGAAACGCGUCGAAUGGAACUCGGGGUACU
This 114-nucleotide non-coding RNA is filed under the name Mucochytrium quahogii. Lineage: Eukaryota; Bigyra; Thraustochytrida; Thraustochytriidae. The record is from RNAcentral.